Molecule: long non-coding RNA, 1371 nt
Organism: Orbicella faveolata
Lineage: Eukaryota; Metazoa; Cnidaria; Anthozoa; Scleractinia; Merulinidae
Source: RefSeq, a predicted model, not a curated record
UGGCCGCAAAUUGUGCAUUUUCUUUUCGCUCGUACAGGUCAACGCGAUGAUAUCUAUCAAUAUACUUUGGGUAGCUCAUAGUGCAUGUCUUGCUGUUUCUAAAGUAUUAAUUUGAUUAGCAAAAACUCCAAGUGUUAUAAUAUUUUAGGGCGAUACAAGUACCUUCAUCGAAGCUCGUGAGCGAAAGGGCUAAUUUUAGCUAAUUUCAAUACAAUCAAAAGCCCACUGGUACAUUGAAUUUGAAAUCGAACCUAAAUUUUCUAAAAGCCCAUACUUCAUAUUAUGUUGUGUGAAAGUCUCUUCCGCGGCCCGAAAAAAGUACCCUGUCGAGAGCAAUAAACGUGUGGUACAUUUUGAGAAAUUCGUCAUUCGUGAAACCAACAUGGAACUUGGAAAGCUACCUUCAUCAAGAACAAAAAUAAGUGAAUGGAAGCCUUAUUCGUCAAUAAAGAUGCUCGUAAUCCGGUUUUUUUCCUUUUAGAUUGACCACAUGAUUAACUUUGGCAAACAUUUGGAAUUAAAUAAAUAUAGACGCUGCUUUUGGUACUUUGUAAUGUUAUGCAAAUUUAUUUCGAUCACCGGCACGUGCAUAUAUCGCCCGAAACUGAUUUGACUUCCGCCUACUGUAUUUGUCUUUUUGAAGGUUACAACUGUAGCACACAUUAUUCGUUCAAUAUCGGCAGUUGUAAUUUUUGUGGAAGACCCACAGCCGAACCUGACUUCAAAAGAAAAAAAGACAUUUUGAAACGUGAAACUUGAGUAAUCAAUCAAUCGAUUACAGUUGCACCAUCAUGUUUGGCGUAAAUAUUCGAGCACAACCAUUUCAUGUAAAUAGGCACACUCUACUUUAAAAAUAACCGUCUCAUUGCAGCAUUUCUUGAAAUCCUGGUCUGAGACCAGGUAAUGAUGACAAAGCGCGAGCAGAUGGCGAAACCUCAUGAUCAGCAGUCGCAAAGUUGUGGCAUAAUAUGGCAAGAUAAUUCGACCGUUGUAUUUUUUUACCCGUGUGCUUGCAAUUCUAAUAUAAUGGGUACAAUUACCCCUGUCUUUACCACCAGAUUUAUCGAUGAAUCGUUCGUCUCCUAUCACCUAAUAUGCCACAUACCUCUCAAUAAAACACAUACUGUCGUCCGCCACUUGCGAAACGUGAGCAGCAAGACAGAAAACCACAAAUGUUUCUUAGUCAAUCACACAAAGCUGUCCAGAUCUAUUUCUUACAAAGUUUCCAGACUUCGCUCUCCUGUAAAGUACCAAGACUUCGCCGUUCUGUUGGCCAGUCCGAAUAACUGUCAUGGUGUUAGUUGAGUACUUGACUCUGUUUGGUGGUCGCGCAGUUCAGACAAUUCGACAAAUGUUGAUUUCAUGACAAUC